RNAcentral lists this unclassified non-coding RNA (350 nucleotides) under uncultured Ascomycota. Its description in RNAcentral is "sequence contains ITS2". The record is from RNAcentral. Lineage: Eukaryota; Fungi; Ascomycota.
AACUUUCAGCAACGGAUCCACCAGAAUAUUGGCUGCCGCAACGGCGUCCUGGAUGGCCAAGUUUAUGCCCACCCCUCCGACCGGAGACAUCGCAUGAGCGGAGUCUCCGAGACACAAAAGGCCGCUCCGCCACCACUGUCGCAGCCGAUCGACGGCCACCGUCAACAGCUUAAUAUCGUUCCAAUCUUUCAAUUCGUCCGUGCGCCCGCGCAGGAAGGGAGCGACACUCGCGAUGUCUUCGCGAAACGCUGCCAGCCCUCUUUGCCGGAUCAUUUCAAUGCCUCCCUUCGGGAUCACAUAUGCGCAUUGCCAAUAGUCGGCGCGAUUAAGCAUAUCAAUAAGCGGAGGCU